ACCAGGAGGCUGAGGCCCCU
RNAcentral lists this microRNA (20 nucleotides) under Macaca mulatta (Rhesus monkey). Its description in RNAcentral is "mml-miR-665". Its record names the gene mml-miR-665. The record is from miRBase by way of RNAcentral. Lineage: Eukaryota; Metazoa; Chordata; Mammalia; Primates; Cercopithecidae. RNAcentral also lists the same sequence under 2 other names.